GGGAACCGCCCGCGUGGUGCUGUAGGCCUGGGUUUUGGGGGUGGUGAAGCGCGGAAAAACACUAUAACCCGCAAAAUAAGUUAUAAGAGUAGGUAUGUAUUUAUGUAUUUAUUCAGCGCUGAGGUGUAUGGGGGAUAGCUCCUCCAAAAACUUGCCCACCUCUGGCGACCUGCUCUUCUCCUUUUGUUCUCUACAGACCAGAGCUACACAAUACGCCUAACACAUACCAUUGCCUAUCACGGCUUCAUACUGAAAUUACUUCCACGCCUCUUCGCGACUGUGCAUUGUUCCCUUUAGGUUACUCUGGGGGUCUUGGGGAUGAAGCGAAUGCUCUUCCUCUCCGUUUGAACUUGUCACCUUGCCUCCUUACGCAUGCUCUCUUUUUAUUCCUUUGGUUAUUUUCUAGACUUCGAUAUCAGUCUUCCUGGUCUGAGGACCCCCUUAUCCUGCGGUUUCUUUGUCCUUGCAUCCUGUUUACGUAUUCUAGCCCCUGACCACACCUUGUAGCCUUGCUCUCCUGUUCUUGUAAGCACCGUAAAUUGUAACAAGUGAUGCGGUUUUGUCAGUCCUCCUUUUAGUCAAAGCAUUUCUUGAUUCUUAAUUGUCUAUUUCAGUGGAACCUGCACCGCUUUCCCUUCACAUCUUGCACUCCCGGAGCUUGGCGGUGCUCCAGGGAGUCAACACAGGGGGAUAGAGCAGCUCUCCCUCACUAAAACCCAGUGCGGAGCCUUUUCCUCCGCCCUGCAUCCUGUCGUGAGGCACAAAUGGCCCGUCCCUCCGUAACCCCCCGCACGCUCCCCUCACUGCCCAGCUGAUGCCUCUCUCCCUCUGCAGUGUGUCCCGAGGUACCUCCGAGCCCUUCAGACGCUCCCGAUGGGCAGGAGCCAAGCAUGGCGGGCCCGGGCAGGGGGAAGCCCUGGAGAUCUGCACUCUUUGGAUGCCUUUGGGUGAGGGGCACACCAAGCCCGGCACUCCUCACAGCCUGGGGCUGAGACCUCAUGUAGCAACCUCAUGCUUGAAAUGUUUUAGACAUGGGUAAUCACACCUAAAUGUGAAGCAGUACUCAGGACUUCGUAGGAGUAAAUAAUGCUUUCUACUGGAAGGGAUGAAAACAACAUCUGCCAGGAAUUAAACGUCAGUUUAUGAUUUCCUGAGAAGGUGAUUUGACUUCAUACUGAUGAGGUGAUUCCAGUUGUCACCAACUGACACCAACUGACUGUCACCAACUGAUUCCAGUUGUCACCUCUAAGUGUGGUCUUGGAAGUAGACUUGAGACAAGCAAUGGCUAAAAUCAUGUAUCUUCAAUGAUCAUGUUGAAACAUGUUUCCUUACAAAAACUGCUGUAAUUUGACUGUGGUUUGAUGGAAAUAAAUUGAGUAUUAAUUAAAAUAAAAUGA
Long non-coding RNA from Cinclus cinclus, 1397 nucleotides. RefSeq lists it as uncharacterized. The record is from RefSeq and is a predicted model, not a curated record. The transcript is spliced from 3 exons. Lineage: Eukaryota; Metazoa; Chordata; Aves; Passeriformes; Cinclidae.